This is a long non-coding RNA of Mesocricetus auratus (golden hamster), 841 nucleotides long. RefSeq lists it as uncharacterized. The record is from RefSeq and is a predicted model, not a curated record. The transcript is spliced from 2 exons. NCBI's taxonomy places the organism in Eukaryota, Metazoa, Chordata, Mammalia, Rodentia, Cricetidae.
UGCAAACAGCAUACAGAUCUGAAUUUCCCCUUCUCUGUGUGUUCCUUCUGUCUCCUUGCCUAUCGUUGACUCCAACGACAGAGUAGCAGGAAGCUCCAGGCAAGGUUUACGAAUGACUGACUGCACUUUCUUCCUUCCUGUGAAGAUGGGCACAUCCUGUAUACAGACCCCAUCGAGCUGUUGUGAAAAAUGAAUGAUGGAGUGUACUACAUUGUGAGAUUCUCAGUGCAGUGCUCAAUGGAAAACACAAUGAGAACGGUGCCUUUUUCUUGUACCUUUUCCCUUAGUCCUCAUUCUCCCUGUUCUCCUGUCUUGAACCCCUUCACAUCGUCUUUGUGAGGACUAGAAGGUGAAGCGGGGAUGACUGUUCCUGCUCUCUCUCUCUGAGCAAAAUGUCUAAGAGGGGACCUGUCCACUGCCACAUCAGCUGACAGACGCCUACAGUUAAUGGGCUCAGGAAAGCCACAGCCCCUGGUAGAGCCCCCUUGGACGGACUAAAACAGUCACAGAGACUUGAGUUUGGUGUAAACAUUCCCAAGUCAGUCAGGAUUCUGUGGGGCAGUUGCUGCCCCCUUGAUGGUCUGACCCUCCCCUAUACUUUGUGUCUUCUUGCUUAAUUGCUUGCUUCUACAUCACGACCAUGUGGUGUUUGAAGACAGGAACUAUGUAGGUCUCUUUAUUUCAGAACGUCUAGUGACACACACUGUGUUCCACAUGGAGGACAUACAUUUGUUGAAAGAGGUAAUGGAGGAAUAAAAUUUGUUCAUAGUAAAAAAUAUUAAACAGAUUCAGUGUUGUAUAGAUAUAAUCUAAGCAGUAUAAUUACAGCCAGCAAAUCUCA